This 1172-nucleotide ribosomal RNA is filed under the name uncultured bacterium. RNAcentral's name for it is "bacterial SSU rRNA". It matches the Rfam family "Bacterial small subunit ribosomal RNA", at positions 28 to 1196 of the family's 1533-position model. The record is from RNAcentral.
AUUGAACGCUGGCGGCAGGCUUAACACAUGCAAGUCGAACGAUGAAGAUAUAGCUUGCUAUAUCGGAUUAGUGGCGGACGGGUGAGUAACACUUAGGAAUCUACCUUUUAGCGGGGGAUAGCUCGGGGAAACUCGAAUUAAUACCGCAUAAUUUCUACGGAAUAAAGAGGGCUUUUAGCUCUCACUAGAAGAUGAGCCUAAGUAAGAUUAGCUAGUUGGUGGGGUAAAAGCCUACCAAGGCGACGAUCUUUAGCUGGUCUGAGAGGAUGAUCAGCCACACUGGGACUGAGACACGGCCCAGACUCCUACGGGAGGCAGCAGUGGGGAAUAUUGGACAAUGGGGGCAACCCUGAUCCAGCCAUGCCGCGUGUGUGAAGAAGGCCUUUUGGUUGUAAAGCACUUUAACGCAGUGAAAGAAGACCUAUUGGUUAAUACCCAAUAGCGAUGACAUUAACUGCAGAAUAAGCACCGGCUAACUCUGUGCCAGCAGCCGCGGUAAUACAGAGGGUGCAAGCGUUAAUCGGAAUUACUGGGCGUAAAGCGAGCGUAGGUGGUUAAAUAAGUCAGAUGUGAAAGCCCUGGGCUCAACCUAGGAACGGCAUCUGAAACUAUUUAACUAGAGUAGGUGAGAGGGAAGUAGAAUUUCAGGUGUAGCGGUGAAAUGCGUAGAGAUCUGAAGGAAUACCGAUGGCGAAGGCAGCUUCCUGGCAUCAUACUGACACUGAGGCUCGAAAGCGUGGGUAGCAAACAGGAUUAGAUACCCUGGUAGUCCACGCCGUAAACGAUGUCUACUAGCCGUUGGGGAACUUGAUUCCUUAGUGGCGCAGCUAACGCAAUAAGUAGACCGCCCUGGGGAGUACGGCCGCAAGGUUAAAACUCAAAUGAAUUGACGGGGGCCCGCACAAGCGGUGGAGCAUGUGGUUUAAUUCGAUGCAACGCGAAGAACCUUACCUGGUCUUGACAUACACAGAAUCUAGCAGAGAUGCAAGAGUGCCUUCGGGAAUUGUGAUACAGGUGCUGCAUGGCUGUCGUCAGCUCGUGUCGUGAGAUGUUGGGUUAAGUCCCGCAACGAGCGCAACCCUUAUCCUUAGUUGCCAGCACGUAAUGGUGGGGACUCUAAGGAGACUGCCAGUGACAAACUGGAGGAGGGCGAGGACGACGUCAGUCAUCAU